GCCUACAGCAACAUUGCUCAGGGUGUGUCUGGUUCUGGAAGCUAAGCUGUGCUUGGACUGGUCAAAAGUUGGAUGGGACACUGUCUGGGAACACCAAAAGCUGUGGGUU
This 109-nucleotide ribosomal RNA is filed under the name Monopterus albus (swamp eel). Lineage: Eukaryota; Metazoa; Chordata; Actinopteri; Synbranchiformes; Synbranchidae. The record is from RNAcentral.